AGUGAACGCUGGCGGCAGGCCUAACACAUGCAAGUCGAGCGGAUGAAGGGAGCUUGCUCCUGGAUUCAGCGGCGGACGGGUGAGUAAUGCCUAGGAAUCUGCCUGGUAGUGGGGGAUAACGUCCGGAAACGGGCGCUAAUACCGCAUACGUCCUGAGGGAGAAAGUGGGGGAUCUUCGGACCUCACGCUAUCAGAUGAGCCUAGGUCGGAUUAGCUAGUUGGUGGGGUAAAGGCCUACCAAGGCGACGAUCCGUAACUGGUCUGAGAGGAUGAUCAGUCACACUGGAACUGAGACACGGUCCAGACUCCUACGGGAGGCAGCAGUGGGGAAUAUUGGACAAUGGGCGAAAGCCUGAUCCAGCCAUGCCGCGUGUGUGAAGAAGGUCCUCGGAUUGUAAAGCACUUUAAGUUGGGAGGAAGGGCAGUAAGUUAAUACCUUGCUGUUUUGACGUUACCAACAGAAUAAGCACCGGCUAACUUCGUG
RNAcentral lists this ribosomal RNA (484 nucleotides) under uncultured bacterium. Its description in RNAcentral is "partial 16S ribosomal RNA". It matches the Rfam family "Bacterial small subunit ribosomal RNA", at positions 29 to 507 of the family's 1533-position model. The record is from RNAcentral.